Molecule: ribosomal RNA, 635 nt
Filed under: Copidapha maculiventris
Lineage: Eukaryota; Metazoa; Arthropoda; Insecta; Diptera; Tabanidae
Description: eukaryotic LSU rRNA
Rfam family: Eukaryotic large subunit ribosomal RNA
Source: RNAcentral
AUGCCUCGUCAUCUAAUUAGUGACGCGCAUGAAUGGAUUAACGAGAUUCCUACUGUCCCUAUCUACUAUCUAGCGAAACCACAGCCAAGGGAACGGGCUUGGAAUAAUUAGCGGGGAAAGAAGACCCUGUUGAGCUUGACUCUAGUCUGGCAGUGUAAGGAGACAUAAGAGGUGUAGCAUAAGUGGGAGAUAUAUUAGUUUCGGCUAAAUAUAUCAAAAAUGAAAUACCACUACUCUUAUUGUUUCCUUACUUACUUGAUAAAAUGGAACGUGUAUCAUUCACUUAGCCAUUACACGGAUAUAUUUAUAUAUUUUAUGGUAUUUUGUUUUGAUGCGAGCUUCUUGUUUAAAGUACCAAGAGUUUGUUAUAUACACCAAACAAAUUACAAUUAAAUUUGCUUUCCAUUAAUAAUGGUUUGUUAAAUAUUAAUUGAAUUUGGUAUAACUAUUAUACUCAGGUAUGAUCCAAUUCAAGGACAUUGCCAGGUGGGGAGUUUGACUGGGGCGGUACAUCUCUCAAAUAAUAACGGAGGUGUCCCAAGGCCAGCUCAGUGCGGACAGAAACCACACAUAGAGCAAAAGGGCAAAUGCUGACUUGAUCUCGGUGUUCAGUACAUACAGAGACAGCAAAAGCU